RNAcentral lists this long non-coding RNA (259 nucleotides) under Physcomitrium patens. Its description in RNAcentral is "long non-coding RNA (PPAT_LNC010157)". Lineage: Eukaryota; Viridiplantae; Streptophyta; Bryopsida; Funariales; Funariaceae. The record is from RNAcentral.
UGAGGAUUUCUAAGAUUUCUUAUAAUCUAUUAGUUGGAUUGGAGUGAAAAUCAUAUGUGCAGGUAAUAGAAUUAUUUUUCUAUGUAUGUAAUAAAUUUGAGAUCAAUCGAACAGUUCAAUAAGGAGAUAUUGAUGCUAAAAAUUCAACAUUCAGAUUGAAGAAGGAUGUUGGUCAACAUUUGAGCAAAUAUUAGGGUUGAUCUUCUUUUUGGUGAGUUUGAUCUUCUUCAAAAAAAUUAUGCUUGUAAUCAAUUUAAUU